UGCACUCUGAAGAGCAGCACGAGAAGGGCGGGCUGGUUGUGAGCUGGAUUGGAGCAGAACUGCCAAGUAGCACGAGGUGAGUGCGAAGGGUAUCCAUCUUGCUUUGCAGGUGCCAUGGCAGGCUCUCCAGAGAAGCGGUUGAGGAUUGGAGAAGAGUUUGCAGAUGAUCAAGGAGCGACACGUGCAGGGAUGGCUUGAAAAGGGUGAUUGGCUUCAGGUUCCAGGUGGGACCUAAUGGUAACUGAGUUGCAGGUAUGCCAUGAGAGAGCUCCUUCUGCCUGGGCUGCACUUUUGGGUGGUGUGGAUGAUACUGGCUGCACUGUUGGAGCUUGGACUCGGAGAGGAACACGUGAGCACAAUCGUAUGUUGCAUCAGCAGUAGUCAGCAUUGUGGAGAAGCUCCCUUGCUGGCUGCAGCAGUAUAUUUUGCCCGUAAUUCUGCGUGUGAAGAUCUGAAUGAAGACAACGGAGUCGUAAGUGUUUAAAGCGUAUACUGUUCUGUUGGAUGGGUUUCUGUUGCCUGUGUGUGUAAGAGUGUGACUGAGACGGAAUUGAGUUCCGAAGCGAUUGUGGAGGUCUUCUUUACCACUGUUCCAAUGUUCCGCGAGGGACUUGGCCGGUGAAGGACCGAAGGGAUUCCUAUAGGAUUUGUGGGUGGGUGAUAGAUCUUAAAUCCUCUUUAAGACACUCUUAUUAAGGUAACGAAGGGCUGUGGGAAUCGCCAGAGUAACAUUCCUAGAUGGGUGAGACAAAACCGAAGACCAGGGACCAGAAGAAAGGGAGCAAAUUACCAGACAUACCACCAGAAAGUCCAUUAGGAAUAACGGUUAGAAACUGGAAGGAGAGAGGCCCCAGAAACGUAAAAAGUAAAUAAAAAAUGGUCCAGUAUUGUGUGAUAGAAUGGCCAAAGGAGCCUUUAAGACCGCAUGCCUUUCGGCCCGUUUUAGGAUCCUUUGAAGACUGUAUUUGUCAGGCCUUAAAUACACAUGUUAAUUCGAAGGAACCUUUUGGCCGGGAAGGAAGUGAUUAUGCAGGAUUAUGGAUCAGGAGGACUUCAUGUCCUUUUACAGCCUUAAUAUUUACACUAAAAGCAGGUAAGAAAUUUUGAAGAAGAAGAACAGGAAAAAUAAAAAGAUAAUAAACGGGAGCCGUUGGAUAACCUACCGUCUCCAUAUCGUAACAAUCCAGCUCUGGUGGUGUACUGGGUCUGGCUGGAAUGUUAACUUUCCCAGCAGCAGCCCAUACAGUGCCGUACUCUGUACUUCUAGCUGGAACAGCAGCGUUAUCACACCAGCGUUGUGUCUACUGCUGAGCAGCAGUGGCACAGCAUUGGGCCUUUCUCUAACCCUCCUAGGGGAUGGGCAAAAAGCGAGGAGAGAAACAUCACUAGGGCAGCUGACCUAAACCAACCAAAGGGA
This is a non-coding RNA of Anas platyrhynchos (mallard), 1417 nucleotides long. The record is from RefSeq and is a predicted model, not a curated record. Lineage: Eukaryota; Metazoa; Chordata; Aves; Anseriformes; Anatidae.